UGCGAUACGUAAUGCGAAUUGCAGAAUUCAGCGAGUCAUCGAAUCUUUGAACGCACAUUGCGCCCGCCAGCAUUCUGGCGGGCAUGCCUGUCCGAGCGUCAUUUCCCCCCUCAGCAUACCCUCUGGGUGCGCUGGCGUUGGGGCUCCUCC
Molecule: ribosomal RNA, 150 nt
Filed under: Ophiostoma tetropii
Lineage: Eukaryota; Fungi; Ascomycota; Sordariomycetes; Ophiostomatales; Ophiostomataceae
Description: 5.8S ribosomal RNA
Rfam family: 5.8S ribosomal RNA (bases 1-101)
About the family: 5.8S ribosomal RNA (5.8S rRNA) is a component of the large subunit of the eukaryotic ribosome. It is transcribed by RNA polymerase I as part of the 45S precursor that also contains 18S and 28S rRNA.
Source: RNAcentral